Molecule: ribosomal RNA, 467 nt
Filed under: uncultured bacterium
Lineage: Bacteria
Description: bacterial SSU rRNA
Rfam family: Bacterial small subunit ribosomal RNA
Source: RNAcentral
UGGGGAAUAUUGCGCAAUGGGCGCAAGCCUGAUCCAGCCAUGCCGCGUGCAGGAUGACGGUCCUAUGGAUUGUAAACUGCUUUUGUACAGGAAGAAACAGUUCUACGUGUAGAACCUUGACGGUACUGUAAGAAUAAGGAUCGGCUAACUCCGUGCCAGCAGCCGCGGUAAUACGGAGGAUCCAAGCGUUAUCCGGAAUCAUUGGGUUUAAAGGGUCCGUAGGCGGUUAGAUAUGUCAGUGGUGAAAGCCCAUCGCUCAACGGUGGAACGGCCAUUGAUACUGUCUGACUUGAAUUAUUAGGAAGUAACUAGAAUAUGUAGUGUAGCGGUGAAAUGCUUAGAGAUUACAUGGAAUACCAAUUGCGAAGGCAGGUUACUACUAAUGGAUUGACGCUGAUGGACGAAAGCGUGGGUAGCGAACAGGAUUAGAUACCCGGGUAGUCCCUGAGCGGGCUGGCAAGGCGCAU